CAGUAGCCGCGGUAAUACAGAGGGUGCGAGCGUUAAUCGGAUUUACUGGGCGUAAAGCGUGCGUAGGCGGCUAAUUGAGUCGGAUGUGAAAUCCCCGAGCUUAACUUGGGAAUUGCAUUCGAUACUGGUUAGCUAGAGUGUGGGAGAGGAUGGUAGAAUUCCAGGUGUAGCGGUGAAAUGCGUAGAGAUCUGGAGGAAUACCGAUGGCGAAGGCAGCCAUCUGGCCUAACACUGACGCUGAGGUACGAAAGCAUGGGGAGCAAACAGGAUUAGAUACCCCAGUAGUCCCUGUCUCUUAUAC
Molecule: ribosomal RNA, 301 nt
Filed under: uncultured bacterium
Lineage: Bacteria
Description: partial 16S ribosomal RNA
Rfam family: Bacterial small subunit ribosomal RNA
Source: RNAcentral